Molecule: ribosomal RNA, 440 nt
Filed under: uncultured bacterium
Lineage: Bacteria
Description: partial 16S ribosomal RNA
Rfam family: Bacterial small subunit ribosomal RNA
Source: RNAcentral
CCUACGGGCGGCAGCAGUGGGGGAUAUUGCACAAUGGGGGAAACCCUGAUGCAGCGACGCCGCGUGAGUGAAGAAGUAUUUCGGUAUGUAAAGCUCUAUCAGCAGGGAAGAAAAUGACGGUACCUGAUUAAGAAGCCCCGGCUAACUACGUGCCAGCAGCCGCGGUAAUACGUAGGUGGCAAGCGUUAUCCGGAUUUACUGGGUGUAAAGGGAGCGUAGACGGCUGCACAGGUCUGGAGUGAAAUGCCGGGGCUUAACCCCGGAACUGCGUUGGAAACUGUGCGGCUAGAGUGCAGGAGAGGUCAGUGGAACUCCAAGUGUAGCGGUGAAAUGCGUAGAUAUAAGGAGGAACACCAGUGGCGAAGGCGGCUUACUGGACUGUAACUGACGUUGAGGCUCGAAAGCGUGGGGAGCGAACAGGAUUAGAUACCCGAGUAGUC